GUGGGGAAUUUUGGACAAUGGGCGCAAGCCUGAUCCAACAAUGCCGCGUGCAGGAAGAAGGCCUUCGGGUUGUAAACUGCUUUUGUACGGAACGAAACGGUCCUGGUUAAUACCUGGGGCUAAUGACGGUACCGUAAGAAUAAGCACCGGCUAACUACGUGCCAGCAGCCGCGGUAAUACGUAGGGUGCGAGCGUUAAUCGGAAUUACUGGGCGUAAAGCGUGCGCAGGCGGUGCUGUAAGACAGGCGUGAAAUCCCCGGGCUCAACCUGGGAAUUGCGAUUGUGACUGCAGUGCUGGAGUACGGCAGAGGGGGAUGGAAUUCCGCGUGUAGCAGUGAAAUGCGUAGAUAUGCGGAGGAACACCGAUGGCGAAGGCAGUCCCCUGGGCCUGUACUGACGCUCAUGCACGAAAGCGUGGGGAGCAAACAGGAUUAGAAACCCGGGUAGUCC
Molecule: ribosomal RNA, 450 nt
Filed under: uncultured bacterium
Lineage: Bacteria
Description: partial 16S ribosomal RNA
Rfam family: Bacterial small subunit ribosomal RNA
Source: RNAcentral